CCUACGGGAGGCAGCAGUGGGGAAUUUUGGACAAUGGGCGCAAGCCUGAUCCAGCAAUGCCGCGUGAGUGAAGAAGGCCUUCGGGUUGUAAAGCUCUUUUGUCAGGGAAGAAACGGUGGGAGCUAAUAUCUCCUACUAAUGACGGUACCUGAAGAAUAAGCACCGGCUAACUACGUGCCAGCAGCCGCGGUAAUACGUAGGGUGCAAGCGUUAAUCGGAAUUACUGGGCGUAAAGCGUGCGCAGGCGGUUUUGUAAGUCUGUCGUGAAAGCCCCGGGCUCAACCUGGGAAUUGCGAUGGAGACUGCAAGGCUUGAAUCUGGCAGAGGGGGGUAGAAUUCCACGUGUAGCAGUGAAAUGCGUAGAGAUGUGGAGGAACACCGAUGGCGAAGGCAGCCCCCUGGGUCAAGAUUGACGCUCAUGCACGAAAGCGUGGGGAGCAAACAGGAUUAGAUACCCUGGUAGUCCACGCCCUAAACGAUGUCUACUAGUUGUCGGGUUUUAAUUAACUUGGUAACGCAGCUAACGCGUGAAGUAGACCGCCUGGGGAGUACGGUGCAAGAUUAAAACUUAAAUGAAUUGACGGNGNGNGAGNGCGAGACGACGACGAGGAGAG
Molecule: ribosomal RNA, 614 nt
Filed under: uncultured bacterium
Lineage: Bacteria
Description: bacterial SSU rRNA
Rfam family: Bacterial small subunit ribosomal RNA
Source: RNAcentral